GAAACCAACAGGGAUUGCCUCAGUAACGGCGAGUGAAGCGGCAACAGCUCAAAUUUGAAAUCUGGCUCUUUCAGAGUCCGAGUUGUAAUUUGCAGAGGAUGCUUCGGGUUCGGCUCCGGUCUAAGUUCCUUGGAACAGGACGUCAUAGAGGGUGAGAAUCCCGUAUGUGACUGGCYGCCACGCCCGUGUGAAGCUCCUUCGACGAGUCGAGUUGUUUGGGAAUGCAGCUCAAAAUGGGUGGUAAAUUUCAUCUAAAGCUAAAUAUUGGCCAGAGACCGAUAGCGCACAAGUAGAGUGAUCGAAAGAUGAAAAGCACUUUGGAAAGAGAGUCAAACAGUACGUGAAAUUGUUGAAAGGGAAGCGCUUGCAACCAGACUUGCCCGCGGGUGAUCAGCCGGUAUUUUUACCGGUGCACUCGCCCGUGGUCAGGCCAGCAUCGGUUUGGGUGGCUGGAUAAAGUCCACUGGAAUGUAGCUCCUCUCGGGGAGUGUUAUAGCCGGAGGUGCCAUGCAGCCCGCCCGGACCGAGGACCGCGC
This 536-nucleotide ribosomal RNA is filed under the name Acarospora strigata. Its description in RNAcentral is "LSU rRNA". It matches the Rfam family "Eukaryotic large subunit ribosomal RNA", at positions 61 to 605 of the family's 3401-position model. Lineage: Eukaryota; Fungi; Ascomycota; Lecanoromycetes; Acarosporales; Acarosporaceae. The record is from RNAcentral.